Long non-coding RNA from Bacillus rossius redtenbacheri, 988 nucleotides. RefSeq lists it as uncharacterized. The record is from RefSeq and is a predicted model, not a curated record. The transcript has 2 exons. NCBI's taxonomy places the organism in Eukaryota, Metazoa, Arthropoda, Insecta, Phasmatodea, Bacillidae.
GUCUGCGAGCUAUCGACAUCAAUUUUCGACUACGUGCGUGCGCUCUAGACUAGUGAUGGGCAGAACGGUUCUUUUGACCGAACCGGUACUUUCGGAUCAGUUCCGUGAAAGAUUCGUUCAGAACGAUUCGUUCAUCUCGGUCAUUUCGUUCUUUUCUGUGAAUAGGAUCUGGCUCUUUUAUCAGGUGACGUAACUCGUUCAUCCUUUAGAGUAUUGGCUACGGACAGCCUAAGUUUCACCCCCAUAGAUCGACAUGCCCUUCGGGCUGGUUCGUACAUGUUCGGUUUUUUUUUUUUUUUUUUUUUAUCUGUACGUUCAAAACAAACAUUGCAAUAUUGAUCAAAAAAUUGUUGACUAAUGUUAUUUUAUAUUUUUUUAAGAGUAAAACACAUGUACACAAAUAUUUCCUUUUACUAAUUAUGAGAUUUUCAGGUAAGUUAUUGAGCUAUUUCUGUUUGAUUUGUUAGGAGAUUAGUUUUGUCCGUUUACAAGUUAACAUUGCUUGUGUUAUUCUUGGCAAGUAAUCAUUUCUUAUAUAAAUUUUUGUACACUAUAGGCUUAUCUUUUUAAAUUUUAGGUAGCGUGUGGAGAUUUCAUCUUAUGUUCAUGAGCGCACAACGUAUAAAAUAUAAAAUCAUAAGAAAUGUUUUCUGGUGGUGUGUAGCAGUUAACCGCAUUUAAGUAAAAGUAUUUUAAAAUGAUUGUUACCAGAGCUGAAUUACAUUGAGGCUUGUGGAGAACAGCUUUUUUUUUAAUCUACUCUUUGGCUGGCGAAUGUAAAUAAGCAAUGAUUUCGUGAAUGCAGCGAGAGAGUUUAUUUGAUGUAUUUUAAAAUCACUGAUAAUAUUUAUUGAUGUAUUUUAAAAUCACUGAUAAUAUUUAUUGAUGUAUUUUAAAAUCACUGAUAAUAUUUGUUUUGUGGCUGGAAGAUGGUAACCAUGGUGACUUGUGAAUUUUUAUGAAGAUUAAUAAAAAGCAGUAAAAAUUA